This 257-nucleotide ribosomal RNA is filed under the name uncultured bacterium. Its description in RNAcentral is "partial 16S ribosomal RNA". It matches the Rfam family "Bacterial small subunit ribosomal RNA", at positions 524 to 775 of the family's 1533-position model. The record is from RNAcentral.
UACGGGGGGGGGCAAGCGUUGUUCGGAAUUACUGGGCGUAAAGGGCGCGUAGGCGGCCAGACAAAGUCGAGCGUUAAAUUCCAGGGCUUAACCCUGGGCUGUUGCUCGAUACUAGUCGGCUAGAGUGUGGAAGAGGGUGCUGGAAUUCCCGGUGUAGCGGUGAAAUGCGUAGAUAUCGGGGAGGAACACCAGUGGCGAAGGCGGGCACCUGGGCUAACACUGACGCUGAGGCGCGAAAAGCUGAGGGGAGCCAAACA